RNAcentral lists this ribosomal RNA (840 nucleotides) under Salmonella enterica subsp. enterica serovar Stanley. RNAcentral's name for it is "partial 23S ribosomal RNA". It matches the Rfam family "Bacterial large subunit ribosomal RNA", at positions 2103 to 2925 of the family's 2925-position model. Lineage: Bacteria; Pseudomonadati; Pseudomonadota; Gammaproteobacteria; Enterobacterales; Enterobacteriaceae. The record is from RNAcentral.
ACUAUAGCUUGACACUGAACAUUGAGCCUUGAUGUGUAGGAUAGGUGGGAGGCUUUGAAGCGUGGACGCCAGUCUGCGUGGAGCCGACCUUGAAAUACCACCCUUUAAUGUUUGAUGUUCUAACGUGGACCCGUGAUCCGGGUUGCGGACAGUGUCUGGUGGGUAGUUUGACUGGGGCGGUCUCCUCCUAAAGAGUAACGGAGGAGCACGAAGGUUGGCUAAUCCUGGUCGGACAUCAGGAGGUUAGUGCAAUGGCAUAAGCCAGCUUGACUGCGAGCGUGACGGCGCGAGCAGGUGCGAAAGCAGGUCAUAGUGAUCCGGUGGUUCUGAAUGGAAGGGCCAUCGCUCAACGGAUAAAAGGUACUCCGGGGAUAACAGGCUGAUACCGCCCAAGAGUUCAUAUCGACGGCGGUGUUUGGCACCUCGAUGUCGGCUCAUCACAUCCUGGGGCUGAAGUAGGUCCCAAGGGUAUGGCUGUUCGCCAUUUAAAGUGGUACGCGAGCUGGGUUUAGAACGUCGUGAGACAGUUCGGUCCCUAUCUGCCGUGGGCGCUGGAGAACUGAGGGGGGCUGCUCCUAGUACGAGAGGACCGGAGUGGACGCAUCACUGGUGUUCGGGUUGUCAUGCCAAUGGCACUGCCCGGUAGCUACAUGCGGAAGAGAUAAGUGCUGAAAGCAUCUAAGCACGAAACUUGCCCCGAGAUGAGUUCUCCCUGAGACUUUAGGUCUCCUGAAGGAACGUUGAAGACGACGACGUUGAUAGGCCGGGUGUGUAAGCGCAGCGAUGCGUUGAGCUAACCGGUACUAAUGAACCGUGAGGCUUAACCUUACAACGCCGAAG